CCUCCGGGUGGCAGCAGUGAGGAAUAUUGGUCAAUGGACGAGAGUCUGAACCAGCCAAGUAGCGUGAAGGAUGACUGCCCUAUGGGUUGUAAACUUCUUUUAUAGGGGAAUAAAAUGUUCCACGUGUGGGAUGUUGUAUGUACCAUAUGAAUAAGGAUCGGCUAACUCCGUGCCAGCAGCCGCGGUAAUACGGAGGAGCCGAGCGUUAUGCGGAUUUAUUGGGUUGAAAGGGAGCGUAGGGGGAUUGUUAAGUCAGUUGUGAAAGUUUGCGGCUCAACCGUAAAAUUGCAGUUGAAACUUGCAGUCUUGAGUCCAGUUGCGGUGGGCGGAAUUCGUUGUGUAGCGG
RNAcentral lists this ribosomal RNA (346 nucleotides) under uncultured bacterium. RNAcentral describes it as "partial 16S ribosomal RNA". It matches the Rfam family "Bacterial small subunit ribosomal RNA", at positions 338 to 681 of the family's 1533-position model. The record is from RNAcentral.